AAGUUUCAAUGUGUAUUUUACAAAUCUACAGUUUAUUUUUUCAUACUUAACAAUCUGCCAAUGUUUAUAUCUAAUCCACAAAAGUGAAGGUUAAUUAAGGUACUGAUAAUGAUUAAGUAUACUAAACGUUUAUUUAAAAAAAUAUAGUAUUCUAGAUAGUAAGAUGGCAAAUUACCUCACUGUAUUAACAAACAAAACAAAUAAUAAUUAGAUAGGGACGUCAUGAAUACAAGGUUGUAGUAAGGUCUAUUUCAAAGUUCAUGUUAUGUGAAUAAAUUUAAAGGAAAACUGACAUUGUUUUACUACAGAUUAUUAAAAUGGAUUUAAACAUAAAAGAAUGCAAAUUCAAUUUAGAUUUUAUGCAAUGUCAUGUAGUUAUGUCUGCAGCAAGCAAAGAAAAAAUAAAGCAAAUAUUAUGCAUAAAAUGCAGCUACUUCUCUUAAAAUAUUAAGUAGGAAAAACAUAUGUGCUAUCAUAUAGUUGUUACAUGCAUAUUACAUAUAAAUAUUACCUCAUCAGUGUUAUUAGCCUGUUGAAGAGUGUAUUCUCUAACUACAGAUGGGGAAUACUCCACUAUGUAUUGCCGGUAGAAUUCCUAAAUUAGUUAGUGUCUUAUAGAAUGUCUCUUUUGCUUGAGGCUGUAAAUUUUGGGAGUAAUUACAAAAUUCCUUGAGAAACAGCACCAAG
Molecule: long non-coding RNA, 687 nt
Organism: Agrilus planipennis (emerald ash borer)
Lineage: Eukaryota; Metazoa; Arthropoda; Insecta; Coleoptera; Buprestidae
Exons: 2
Source: RefSeq, a predicted model, not a curated record